Molecule: ribosomal RNA, 387 nt
Filed under: uncultured bacterium
Lineage: Bacteria
Description: bacterial SSU rRNA
Rfam family: Bacterial small subunit ribosomal RNA
Source: RNAcentral
CCGGGUUUGACAUACAGGUAGUAGGGAACUGAAAGGGGACCGACCCUUCGGGGAGCCUGAACAGGUGCUGCAUGGCUGUCGUCAGCUCGUGUCGUGAGAUGUCCGGUUAAGUCCGGUAACGAGCGCAACCCUUGCCGUAUGUUACAAGUGUCAUACGGGACUGCCGGUAUCAAGCCGGAGGAAGGUGGGGAUGACGUCAAGUCAGCAUGGCCUUUAUAUCCGGGGCUACACACACGCUACAAUGGUCAGUACAAUAGGUUGCAAAGCCGCGAGGUGGAGCCAAUCCAUAAAGCUGGCCUCAGUUCAGAUUGCAGGCUGCAACUCGCCUGCAUGAAGUUGGAGUUGCUAGUAACCGCGCGUCAGCCAUAGUGCGGUGAAUACGUUCCC